GGGGGGCAAGCGUUGUUCGGAAUUACUGGGCGUAAAGGGCUCGUAGGGGGCCAACUAAGUCAGACGUGAAAUCCCUCGGCUUAACCGGGGAACUGCGUCUGAUACUGGAUGGCUAGAGAUUGGGAGAGGGAUGCGGAAUUCCAGGUGUAGCGGUGAAAUGCGUAGAUAUCUGGAGGAACACCGGUGGCGAAGGCGGCAUCCUGGACCAACACUGACGCUGAGGAGCGAAAGCCAGGGGAGCAAACGGG
Molecule: ribosomal RNA, 248 nt
Filed under: uncultured bacterium
Lineage: Bacteria
Description: partial 16S ribosomal RNA
Rfam family: Bacterial small subunit ribosomal RNA
Source: RNAcentral